UUUCGCAAUGCCCGAAAGGGUGACGAAGCGACGCCGCGUGGGUGAGGAAGGCCUUCGGGUUGUAAAGCCCUGUCAGGAGUUAAGAAAUGUAAUUGCGCUAAUAUCCCAUUUAUUUGACGAAGGCUCCAAAGGAAGUCACGGCUAACUCUGUGCCACCAGCCGCGGUAAUACAGAGGUGGCAAGCGUUGUUCGGAAUUAUUGGGCGUAGAGAGCACGUAGGUGGGUUUGUAAGUCAGAUGUGAAAGCCUUCUGUUCAACGGAAGAAUUGCACCUGAAACUGCGAGUCUUGAGUGUAGGAGGGGAGAAUGGAACUUCUGGUGGAGCGGUGAAAUGCGUAAAUAUCACAAGGAACGCCGGCGGCGAAAGCGAUUCUCUGGCCUAUUACUGACACUCACUGUGCGAAAGCUAGGGGAGCAAACGGGAUUAGAUACCCCGGUAGUCCUAGCCGUAAACGAUGGGCACUAAAUAGAGGGGUUUUAA
RNAcentral lists this ribosomal RNA (480 nucleotides) under uncultured anaerobic ammonium-oxidizing bacterium. RNAcentral's name for it is "bacterial SSU rRNA". It matches the Rfam family "Bacterial small subunit ribosomal RNA", at positions 364 to 834 of the family's 1533-position model. The record is from RNAcentral.